RNAcentral lists this ribosomal RNA (391 nucleotides) under Blomia tropicalis. Its description in RNAcentral is "partial 12S ribosomal RNA". The record is from RNAcentral. Lineage: Eukaryota; Metazoa; Arthropoda; Arachnida; Sarcoptiformes; Echimyopodidae.
AAACUAGGAUUAGAUACCCUGUUACUUUUAGGUUAUUUUUAGGUAGUACCAUAUAGUGUUUAAACUUAAUCUUUCUGGCGGUUUUCCAUCUUGCCAGAGGAGCCUGUGUUUUUAAAGGAUGACCCACUUUUAUGUUCACUCUCUUUUUGUUUGUGUACGGUUGUUUAGUUUUAAGGUAGAACUUAUUGCUUUUUCUUUUUUAUAAUUAAUUCAGAUCUAUGUGCAACUUAUAGGGGAGGUUUUCAUGGGCUACUAUUUUUGUUUCUGGGAUUUUAUUUUCCUGAGAAUUGGAUUUGUGAGUAAGCUAAAAAUUAAAUUUUUGUCUGGUGCAAGGCCUGGUGAAAGUACAUAUCGCCCGUCGCUCUUUUGAUAGAUAAGUCGUAACAUAGUA